This is a small nuclear RNA of Apodemus sylvaticus (European woodmouse), 162 nucleotides long. RefSeq annotates it as U1 spliceosomal RNA. The record is from RefSeq and is a predicted model, not a curated record. The transcript has a single exon. Lineage: Eukaryota; Metazoa; Chordata; Mammalia; Rodentia; Muridae.
AUACUUACCUGGCGCAGAUACUCUGUGAUCAGGAAGGUGGUUUUUCUGGAGUGAGGCUCAUCCGCUGUACUUGGGAUGUGCCGACCCCUGAGAGUUCCCCAAAUGAAGAAAACCUGAGUGAAGAAUUGGGGUAGUGGGGCACCGUGUUCGCACUCUGACCUG